Molecule: long non-coding RNA, 204 nt
Filed under: Oryza sativa Indica Group (long-grained rice)
Lineage: Eukaryota; Viridiplantae; Streptophyta; Magnoliopsida; Poales; Poaceae
Description: lncRNA OsLiXu_02g0026900
Rfam family: Small nucleolar RNA R30/Z108 (bases 109-204)
Source: RNAcentral
CCGAUUGGUGAGGCGAGGCGACGCCAGGGAGCCAGCGAGGCAGCGACGUGCCUCCAGGCCGCGCGCCGCCGUCGCCGCCUCGAAGCUCCCUGCGCCGCCGUCGUAGGAGUCUAUUGCGAUGAGGAUAUUAAGCUCCCUCUUCUGAAGGCAUUGAGGACACUCGCUGGCAGAAUCGAACCAAUUAACAAAGCCACCACUGAGUAA